RNAcentral lists this microRNA precursor (60 nucleotides) under Melibe leonina. Its description in RNAcentral is "microRNA mle-mir-315 precursor". Its record names the gene mle-mir-315. Lineage: Eukaryota; Metazoa; Mollusca; Gastropoda; Nudibranchia; Dendronotidae. The record is from miRBase by way of RNAcentral.
UUUUGAUUGUUGCUCAGAAAGCCGGUGUUUGAAUUCGGCGCUUGAGCUGCAAUCAAACAG